Molecule: transfer RNA, 73 nt
Filed under: Cerasibacillus quisquiliarum
Lineage: Bacteria; Bacillati; Bacillota; Bacilli; Caryophanales; Bacillaceae
Rfam family: tRNA
About the family: Transfer RNA (tRNA) molecules are approximately 80 nucleotides in length.
Source: Rfam by way of RNAcentral
GAGCCAUUAGCUCAGGCGGUAGAGCAUCUGACUUUUAAUCAGAGGGCCGGAGGUUCGAUUCCUCCAUGGCUCA